Molecule: ribosomal RNA, 492 nt
Filed under: uncultured bacterium
Lineage: Bacteria
Description: partial 16S ribosomal RNA
Rfam family: Bacterial small subunit ribosomal RNA
Source: RNAcentral
AGUGAACGCUGGCGGUAGGCCUAACACAUGCAAGUCGAACGGCAGCACAGUAAGAGCUUGCUCUUACGGGUGGCGAGUGGCGGACGGGUGAGGAAUACAUCGGAAUCUACUUUUUCGUGGGGGAUAACGUAGGGAAACUUACGCUAAUACCGCAUACGACCUACGGGUGAAAGCAGGGGAUCUUCGGACCUUGCGCGAUUGAAUGAGCCGAUGUCGGAUUAGCUAGUUGGCGGGGUAAAGGCCCACCAAGGCGACGAUCCGUAGCUGGUCUGAGAGGAUGAACAGCCACACUGGAACUGAGACACGGCCCAGACUCCUACGGGAGGCAGCAGUGGGGAAUAUUGGGCAAUGGGGGCAAGCCUGAUCCAGCCAUACCGCGUGGGUGAAGAAGGCCUUCGGGUUGUAAAGCCCUUUUGUUGGGAAAGAAAAGCAGCAGGUUAAUACCCCGCUGUUCUGACGGUACCCAAAGAAUAAGCACCGGCUAACUUCGUG